This 1420-nucleotide ribosomal RNA is filed under the name uncultured Bordetella sp. Its description in RNAcentral is "partial 16S-23S ribosomal RNA intergenic spacer". It matches the Rfam family "Bacterial small subunit ribosomal RNA". The record is from RNAcentral. Lineage: Bacteria; Pseudomonadati; Pseudomonadota; Betaproteobacteria; Burkholderiales; Alcaligenaceae.
AGUCGAACGGCAGCCACGGACUUCGGUCUGGUGGCGAGUGGCGAACGGGUGAGUAAUGUAUCGGAACGUGCCUAGUAGCGGGGGAUAACUACGCGAAAGCGUAGCUAAUACCGCAUACGCCCUUCUGAGGAAAGCAGGGGACCUUCGGGCCUCGCACUAUUAGAGCAGCCGAUAUCGGAUUGGCCUAGUUGGUGGGGUAACGGCUCACCAGGCGACGAUCCGUAGCUGGUUUGAGAGGACGACCAGCCACACUGGGACUGAGACACGGAACUCCUACGGGAGGCAGCAGUGGGGAAUUUUGGACAAUGGAAACCCUGAUCCGUAUGCCGUGUGCGAUAAGAAGGCCUUCGGGUUGUAAAGCACUUUUGGCAGGAAAGAAACGGCACGGGAUAAUACCCCGUGCAACUGACAGUACCUGCAGAAUAAGCACCGGCUAACUACGUGCCAGCAGCCGCGGUAAUACGUAAGUGCAAGCGUUAAUCGGAAUUACUGGGCGUAAAGCGUGCAGGCGGUUCGGAAAGAAAGAUGUGAAAUCCCAGAGCUUAACUUUGGAACUGCAUUUUUAACUACCGAGCUGGUGUGUCAGAGGAGUGGAAUUCCGCGUGUAGCAGUGAAAUGCGUAGAUAUGCGGAGGAACACCGAUGGCAGGAAGGCAGCCUCCUGGGAUAACACUGACGCUCAUGCACAACGUGGGGGAGCAAACAGGAUUAGAUACCCUGGUAGUCCACGCCUAAACGAUGUCAACUAGCUGUUGGGGCCUUCGGGCCUUGGUAGCGCAGCUAACGCGUGAGGAGAUUGACCGCCUGGGGAGUACGGUCGCAAGAUUAAAACUCAAAGGAAUUGACGGGGACCCGCACAAGCGGUGGAUGAUGUGGAUUAAUUCGAUGCAGCGCGAAAAACCUUACCUACCCUUGACAUGUCUGGAAUCCCGAAAGAGAUUUGGGAGUGCUCGCAAGAGAACCGGAACACAGGUGCUGCAUGGCUGUCGUCAGCUCGUGUCGUGAGAUGUUGGGUUAAGUCCCGCAACGAGCGCAACCCUUGUCAUUAGUUGCUACGAAAGGGCACUCUAAUGAGACUGCCGGUGACAAACCGGAGGAAGGUGGGGAUGACGUCAAGUCCUCAUAGCCCUUAUGGGUAGGGCUUCACGUCAUACAAUGGUCGGGACAGAGGGUCGCCAACCCGCGAAGGGGAGCCAAUCGAAACCCGAUCGUAGUCGGAUCGCAGUCUGCAACUCGACUGCGUGAAGUCGGAGAUCGCUGGUAAUCGCGGAUCAGCAUGUCGCGGUGAAUACGUUCCCGGGUCUUGUACACACCGCCCGUCACACCAUGGGAGUGGGUUUUACCAAAGUAGUUAGCCUAACCGUAAGGAGGGCGAUUACCACGGUAGGAUUCAUGACUGGGGUGAAGUCGUAACAAGGUAG